This 496-nucleotide ribosomal RNA is filed under the name uncultured bacterium. RNAcentral describes it as "partial 16S ribosomal RNA". It matches the Rfam family "Bacterial small subunit ribosomal RNA", at positions 29 to 507 of the family's 1533-position model. The record is from RNAcentral.
AUGAACGCUGGCGGCGUGCCUAAAACAUGCCAGUCGAGCGAACAGAUGAGGAGCUUGCUCCUCUGACGUUAGCGGCGGACGGGUGAGUAACACGUGGAUAACCUACCUAUAAGACUGGGAUAACUUCGGGAAACCGGAGCUAAUACCGGAUAAUAUAUUGAACCGCAUGGUUCAAUAGUGAAAGACGGUUUUGCUGUCACUUAUAGAUGGAUCCGCGCCGCAUUAGCUAGUUGGUAAGGUAACGGCUUACCAAGGCAACGAUGCGUAGCCGACCUGAGAGGGUGAUCGGCCACACUGGAACUGAGACACGGUCCAGACUCCUACGGGAGGCAGCAGUAGGGAAUCUUCCGCAAUGGGCGAAAGCCUGACGGAGCAACGCCGCGUGAGUGAUGAAGGUCUUCGGAUCGUAAAACUCUGUUAUUAGGGAAGAACAAAUGUGUAAGUAACUAUGCACGUCUUGACGGUACCUAAUCAGAAAGCCACGGCUAACUACGUG